RNAcentral lists this ribosomal RNA (293 nucleotides) under uncultured bacterium. RNAcentral's name for it is "partial 16S ribosomal RNA". It matches the Rfam family "Archaeal small subunit ribosomal RNA", at positions 455 to 747 of the family's 1478-position model. The record is from RNAcentral.
GUGCCAGCCGCCGCGGUAAUACCGGCAGCCCGAGUGAUGACCGAUCUUAUUGGGCCUAAAGCGUCCGUAGCUGGCUACGCAAGUCCGUCGGGAAAUCCACUCGCUCAUCGAGUGGGCGUCCGACGGAAACUGCACAGCUUGGGACCGGAAGGCUCGAAGGGUACGUUCGGGGUAGGAGUGAAAUCCCGUAAUCCUGGACGGACCGCCGAUGGCGAAAGCACGUCGCGAGAACGGAUCCGACAGUGAGGGACGAAAGCCAGGGUCUCGAACCGGAUUAGAAACCCUGGUAGUCC